UCUAAUCAAAUUAGGAAAAGAAAGGGAGAAAAUUCACGAGUCUGGAUAAGACUCACCCUGCCCUCUUUUUUACAAUUUGGGAGUAAUUAAUUGGACAUUAAAACAUACAGCCACAUUGGGUUAUAAUUACAUUCUCUGCAACUUUCGCAGACAAACAAGGAAAUAAUUA
Long non-coding RNA from Neltuma alba, 169 nucleotides. RefSeq lists it as uncharacterized. NCBI's taxonomy places the organism in Eukaryota, Viridiplantae, Streptophyta, Magnoliopsida, Fabales, Fabaceae. The record is from RefSeq and is a predicted model, not a curated record. The transcript is spliced from 3 exons.